Non-coding RNA from Gossypium hirsutum (cotton), 152 nucleotides. The record is from Rfam. NCBI's taxonomy places the organism in Eukaryota, Viridiplantae, Streptophyta, Magnoliopsida, Malvales, Malvaceae.
UGAUAAUCUCUAGAAAGUUAUAAAUUUUUGGAGAUGACGAUGACAAAUGGAGGUGUUUAACUGCUCGGAAACUAAAAGGAAUGCUUUUGCUCUUUAGACUUGCUGAGGUUGUAUAUCCCCUUUGAAAUUGGUCUAGUAAGCCUAAGUACAUU